AACGGCCACAUUGGGACUGAGACACGGCCCAAACUCCUACGGGAGGCAGCAGUAGGGAAUUUUCGGCAAUGGAGGAAACUCUGACCGAGCAAUGCCGCGUGAACGAUGAAGUAUUUCGGUACGUAAAGUUCUUUUAUUAGGGAAGAAUAAAUGAUGGAAAAAUCAUUCUGACGGUACCUAAUGAAUAAGCCCCGGCUAACUAUGUGCCAGCAGCCGCGGUAAUACAUAGGGGGCAAGCGUUAUCCGGAAUUAUUGGGCGUAAAGGGUGCGUAGGCGGUUAAAUAAGUUUAUGGUCUAAGUGCAAUGCUUAACAUUGUGAUGCUAUAAAAACUGUUUAGCUAGAGUAAGAUAGAGGCAAGUGGAAUUCCAUGUGUAGUGGUAAAAUGCGUAAAUAUAUGGAGGAACACCAGUAGCGAAGGCGGCUUGCUGGGUCUUUACUGACGCUGAGGCACGAAAGCGUGGGGAGCAAACAGGAUUAGAUACCCUGGUAGUCCACGCCGUAAACGAUGAGUACUAAAACGUUGGGUAAAACCAGUGUUGAAGUUAACACAUUAAGUACUCCGCCUGAGUAGUACGUACGCAAGUAUGAAACUUAAAGGAAUUGACGGGACUCCGCACAAGCGGUGGAUCAUGUUGUUUAAUUCGAAAGGUACCCCGAAAAAACCUCACCAGGUCUUGACAUGCUUUUUGCAAAGGCUGUAGAAAACACAGUGGGAGGUUAUUCAGUUGUACCAGGUGGGUGCAUGGGUUGUCGUC
This 756-nucleotide ribosomal RNA is filed under the name 'Carica papaya' phytoplasma. RNAcentral describes it as "bacterial SSU rRNA". It matches the Rfam family "Bacterial small subunit ribosomal RNA", at positions 303 to 1056 of the family's 1533-position model. Lineage: Bacteria; Bacillati; Mycoplasmatota; Mollicutes; Acholeplasmatales; Acholeplasmataceae. The record is from RNAcentral.